CAGUCGCCGCGGGAAUACGGAGGGUGCAAGCGUUAUCCGGAUUUAUUGGGUUUAAAGGGUCCGUAGGCGGAUCUGUAAGUCAGUGGUGAAAUCUCACAGCUUAACUGUGAAACUGCCAUUGAUACUGCAGGUCUUGAGUAAAUUUGAAGUGGCUGGAAUAAGUAGUGUAGCGGUGAAAUGCAUAGAUAUUACUUAGAACACCAAUUGCGAAGGCAGGUCACUAAGAUUUAACUGACGCUGAUGGACGAAAGCGUGGGGAGCGAACAGGAUUAGAUACCCGGGUAGUCCCUGUCUCUUAUAC
RNAcentral lists this ribosomal RNA (301 nucleotides) under uncultured bacterium. Its description in RNAcentral is "partial 16S ribosomal RNA". It matches the Rfam family "Bacterial small subunit ribosomal RNA", at positions 509 to 807 of the family's 1533-position model. The record is from RNAcentral.